Molecule: non-coding RNA, 2417 nt
Organism: Oryctolagus cuniculus (rabbit)
Lineage: Eukaryota; Metazoa; Chordata; Mammalia; Lagomorpha; Leporidae
Source: RefSeq, a predicted model, not a curated record
CAGGAGUCCUGGCUCAGAGGGGCCCUGCCUGGGUCCGGGGCCGCUUGUUUUUCUUCAGCCGCUUUUGCUGGAGCUCCCGCUUCUUCAUCAGCUUCUUCUUCCGGGACAGGAGUGCUCUCCUGCACCAGGCUGCGAGACAUGGAGCAACUCACGGGGAAGCACUGGAAGAUGCCCCCAAUGAGCGCCCCCGGCGGCCCCCCCACGGGUCCCGCGUCACCCGGACCUGGUUGCUGUCCACGCGGUAGCCGUGCCUCAGGGCGAAGAUCUUCCCCAGCGAGAUGGCGAUGGCGAACCCCACCACAGCGAUGGCAAAGGCGUUUCCCACAAGCUUUGCAAAGAGCUGUGGGUUGGGGGCCACUGGAGGGACCAGCCUGGGAGAGACAACGGUGAGGCCACAGGCAGGGGCAGGCCCUGGCUGCCCAAGCCCCUCCUACUGGGACAUGGAGCUACCACUCACCCUGCUGGGAUGUUGCCCACAACAUCCACCCCGAACCGCUGCUGUAGGCCCACACCAUAGGAGAUGGCCGUGGCCCCGAUGAGCUGUGGGGAGAGACGGGGUCAGGGGGCGGGGGCGGGUGGGCCUUAUGGUCCCAGAGAGGCGGGGAGACCCUGGGACAGAGCCUUCUGCAGGGGCUGGGGGGCGGGGGAGGCAUCAGUAGGGUGAGAGACACACACAAUUCCGGGAAGACAGAGAUGCUAUUAGGGGCAGGGGAAGAGAGCGUGGGGCUUUCUGUUGUGGGCCCCCUGGCACCUGGGCACCCUCCCAGGGCCCACCCGGAGGCCGCCCCGGCAGGGAUGCAGCCUCGCUCGCCCGCCCCGGCCCGGCCCGGCCCCGCACCGUGAGCAGCUCCCCGGGUAUGGGCAGCGGGAGGUAGCGUCGCAGCUUCUCACUGAGCAGCUUCACGGCCACGAGCACCACCCCCGCCACGAGCGCGGUGACCAGGGUGCCGACCACGGUCUGCGGCAGCUUCCAGCAGACCUCCAGAACUGUCUGAGGAGAGGGGAAGUCACGGCCGGCACUCGGGGGCGGGGGACCCCGGCCCGCCCAGCCCGCCCGGCCCGCCGCCCCUCCUCACUCACAUAGAUGAGGGAGAGUGGCCCAGAACGGCUGCUCAGCUGCAGGCCAAACACGUACUUGAGCUGCGAGAUGAAGACCUGCACGGACGCAGCCGUGGUGUAGCUGCGCACCAGAGGCUCUGACAGGUAGGUGACCACGAAGCCGAAGUGCACCAGGCCCAGCCCCACCUGCGGGGUAGCCGGGGAUGGUCAGGGGAGACGGGGGUCCUGGGGUGGCUGCAGAGGACCCCAGGGCAAGUGGGACUGGGGGCGGGCAGGCACCCAGGGGAGCCGUGGGGGACCCAUACUCCUGACCGGCUUGCACCUGGAAGAGGCCAACCAGGACACUGAGCGUGGAAGCCAGCUGCACCCGGUAGGUGUCCCUGGCAGUCUCGUUGACUGUGGAAUUUGCGAUGUCCAUGAAGUCCUCAUCCGGGGCCAGGGAUUCUGUCACACUGCCCACCAUCACGGACAUGAUAGCAAAGGUCCCUGCAGGACAGGGCAGGGCAGCUCUGAAGGCCGGAGGACACCACCCUGCACUGAGGGCCCAGACGCAGGGCCGGUGUGUGGCAGAGUGGCUAAGUCACUGCCUGGGGUGCCUGCACCCAGCUCCUCGGCAUCUGAUCCAGCUUCCUGCUAACGCACACCCGAGGAGGCAGCAAACAAUUGCGCAGGUGCUUGGGUCCCUGCCACCCAUGUGGGACAUCGGGUUAGAGUUCCAGGCUUCUGGCUUUAGCUUGGCCCAGCCCUGAUCGUUUUGAGGAUUUGAGAAACGAACCAGUAAAUGGAAGCUUUCUGCCUUUCAAAAAAAAAAUCAAUUUUUUUAAAAAAAGAGAAAAAGAUGUUACAAAAAAUAAAAAGAGAAAGAUGGGGUGGGGGGUGGGGGAGACAGAGACACACAGACAACCCAGCUUUGGACAAACAUCCUCAGACUGAGGCUGUACAAAUGGGGGCAGAGCUGGCAGCGAGGCCUGGCCGGGGCAGGAGGAGACGAAAUGCUGGCUUCGCACCAGCUAAGCCUGCGCUGCCUGGGUCCAUCGGCCUCCCUGUGGAGCAGGACAGAGUCACAGCUGCUCCAGCUGAUCUGCUCACAUCCUCCUGAGACAGGGCUGUGCGUCACCCUGAACCUGUGAUCCCGCAGUCACCGGCCUGGUCCUGCCUGGGGCAGUCCCUGGGCUUGCCUCCCAGUGACCUAUCACCAAUGCUGCCCUCUUCCCCAGGCUCUCUGCCCUGUUCAGCCUGCCCUCACCCUGUCCUCCAUGGCGGAUGGAAGCCCCCCUGGAAAGCAAGGCCUGAUUCCACUUACCCACGGAGAUGUGCCGGGAAGUGCCAAACAGGAAGUAGAUGAAGACAGGGUAGAA